CCUGCGGAGGGAUCAUUACCGAGUUUACAACUCCCAAACCCCUGUGAACAUACCUUAAUGUUGCCUCGGCGGAUCAGCCCGCGCCCCGUAAAACGGGACGGCCCGCCAGAGGACCCAAACUCUAAUGUUUCUUAUUGUAACUUCUGAGUAAAACAAACAAAUAAAUCAAAACUUUCAACAACGGAUCUCUUGGUUCUGGCAUCGAUGAAGAACGCAGCAAAAUGCGAUAAGUAAUGUGAAUUGCAGAAUUCAGUGAAUCAUCGAAUCUUUGAACGCACAUUGCGCCCGCUGGUAUUCCGGCGGGCAUGCCUGUUCGAGCGUCAUUUCAACCCUCAAGCCCCCGGGUUUGGUGUUGGGGAUCGGCUCUGCCCUUCUGGGCGGUGCCGCCCCCGAAAUACAUUGGCGGUCUCGCUGCAGCCUCCAUUGCGUAGUAGCUAACACCUCGCAACUGGAACGCGGCGCGGCCAUGCCGUAAAACCCCAACUUCUGAAUGUUGACCUCGGAUCAGGUAGGAAUACCCGCUGAACUUAAGCAUAUCAAUAAG
Molecule: ribosomal RNA, 544 nt
Filed under: Fusarium acuminatum
Lineage: Eukaryota; Fungi; Ascomycota; Sordariomycetes; Hypocreales; Nectriaceae
Description: eukaryotic LSU rRNA
Rfam family: 5.8S ribosomal RNA (bases 170-323)
Source: RNAcentral